Molecule: transfer RNA, 71 nt
Filed under: Ameiurus melas (black bullhead)
Lineage: Eukaryota; Metazoa; Chordata; Actinopteri; Siluriformes; Ictaluridae
Rfam family: tRNA
About the family: Transfer RNA (tRNA) molecules are approximately 80 nucleotides in length. Their secondary structure includes four short double-helical elements and three loops (D, anti-codon, and T loops).
Source: Rfam by way of RNAcentral
GCAUUGGUGGUUCAGUGGUAGAAUUCUAGCUUGCCAUAUUGGAGACCUGGGUUUGAUUCCCAGCCAAUGCA